Amblyraja radiata (thorny skate) is the source of this 168-nucleotide long non-coding RNA. RefSeq lists it as uncharacterized. Lineage: Eukaryota; Metazoa; Chordata; Chondrichthyes; Rajiformes; Rajidae. The transcript has 3 exons. The record is from RefSeq and is a predicted model, not a curated record.
GAGGAACAGAUCGGGUAGAUGCACAGGGUCUCUUGCCCAGAGUAGGGGAAUCAAGAACCAGAGGACAUAGGUUUAAAGUGAGGGGGGGAAGGAUUUAUUAGGAACUCGAGGGGCAAGUUUAUUCACACAAUGUGUGGAGGAUGUAUGGAACGAGCUGCUGGAGGAGGU